GCUAGGCCCUGAAGAAGGCUUUGGGGCAUAAAUGAAUAAAAUAUGAAUCCUGACUCAAGGACUUUGUGGUCUGAUAGGGAGGGUAGUCACAUAAAUAAAUGCACUAAUGAAUAUAGAUUGACCUCAUCUCUGUGAUACUUGCGUUAAGAAAAGCUUUACCAGAGAAGUAGUGUUCAAAGUGGGUCUUAAAAAUGAAUGGGAUUUUGUCUUCUCCACUGAGAUAGUAGGGUGGGGAUGAAAAGCAUUCCUGUCAAAACUUACAUGGCAGAAAUAGCUCAAAUGUUCAGGGACACUUGUCUUUUGGCUCUUUCUCAUCUGCAAGUUCACUAAUGAUUAUUUGGUUGUUAUUCAGGCGGUUUUUAGCCCAAAGAGAAAAGAUUCUGAAUUUCCAUGUGCUAAGGUUAUCUUAAGAUUUGCCAUCAGGGAUCAGUAUAUCCUUCUAAACUCUAGAGAUUUGAUAUUCUGUCUUAAAUGGGGCAGGAAAGAAAAAAAGGUCCAUUUUUCAAGUUAUAUUUUAGGUAGUGAUGACAGGAUGUAAAAAGAGCAAAGGGGACUUCCAUUGAUAUACAGGGACAAGCUGAAUUCAGCUACACAUGGCAGGGGGACGUCAUUCAAAACAACAGCAAUGAGCUUAUUUGCUUUCUGCAAUUCCUGGGGAACAAAACAUCACCAGGAACCUCUAGCAAAAUGAAUGAUGGGGUCAUGUGCUGUCCUCCUUUCUGAUGUUAUAGAAGAUAGGAAGCAUUAUCUGAACAGUAUCUGAGACAUUUAUCUACUGCAUUGUCAUAUGCUGUUCAGAAUUCAAUACAGAGAAAAACGUUUUGUCAAAGCUUUUCAAACUAUAUGCUCCACAGGGCUCUGGUUUCAAGAAGGUCCUUUAGGGUGGAAGGAGUCAAGGAGCAGGGUUCUCAACUUCUACCCAAGUUGCAGUCAGAAAUGUCAUUUUCAUCUCUUGCCUGCUACUCUUGGUGUCAUAUUUUUCUCCAGUAAAGAUUUGUCAUUUAAAUUUUUUGAACAGCACUGACCCCAGUCCACUAUAAUGUGAGAUAGGCCCUUCUUGUGAUUGCUGUUUUAAUUGAGUGGAAUAGAACUCUGCACAUGCUCAGAGUAGCAGCAUGACAAACACCUAAUACAGACUGCACAGCACUUUGUGCUGGGAACACUCUGCUUGACUCAGAGCUGAGUCAUUGUUCUGAUGCUGUAUUUUUACCAAUUUAAAAAGCACUUAACUCUUCGAUUUCUGAUGAAAAGAAAUUCAAGAGGAAGCACAUAGAGGUUUGAAGUGAUUCUGCGAUCUAUUUUCAUUCCCUCAUAGCUAUAAGAAGCUGAACAAGUGAGAUUUCAAAGUCUUUAUUUUAAGAAUUAUAAAUACUAGAGAAUUUUUCUAUUUUUAGAGUAUGUGUUUGAAGAUAUUUUUGGGGUGGAACUGUACAGAGUGAGUGUACCUAGGACCUAGACCUAAAACAUAUUCCCUUGAGUGGAUCAGUCACUAAGGCUCAGGGACAGAGUUGUUAUUCAGUCAUGGGCUAGGAAAGUGCUGCGGCCACAGGUGACAUAUUGUAGUAGAGAUGGUAAGGAUGACUUACCAGAGCCCCUACUAUGCACCAGUUAAUCAGGACAGUAAAUAGGGUAAGAUCAAGGUAAGGCCACAUUAAGAUAAGAUCAGGUACUGUACAGAGUAUCAAAACAGGGCUCAGAAACAAGGAGAUACCUGGAGGCUUUGACAGAGAAUUAGGUUGAUGUCUAUUUCUCAACUCCAGGAAUUUGACAUAUGGAGAAAUGAGUCCCUGAAUAAAUAUCAAGAAGUUCAUAAAUCCCAUGAUAAUCCAAACUUACGUGAGUUCGUAUUGUGCAAAGAGGCCAUGGCUUUGUUCGGACUUUUAAAGGAAUCCACACAUGAUAAAAUCUCAAAAUUGUUGUAUGAGACCUAAGAUGAUAUUGAAUUAAGGCCAAGAUGAACUUGAUUCAGGAAUAUCUGAAUUGUAAAUGUCUUCUCAAAGAGGGACAAAGAGAGACCCAGAAUAUGUAUAUAAGUCAGCCUACCCAUAGGGUUAGAGUGGUCUCUGCUUUGGGAAAGGUAGAGAACAUCAGGCAAAAAAAGUAGCUCUCUGUCCUUUCUCGGGGUGGGGGGUCCCUCUCUAGCCAGAGGUAGAGAAAUUAACAAAUAUUUCAUAACCAGCCUCAUCAGUGGGGAUUUGCAGGCUUCCUUCCCACUGAAUAGAAUCAAUAUUAGUAUAGGACU
This 2242-nucleotide long non-coding RNA is filed under the name Marmota monax (woodchuck). Lineage: Eukaryota; Metazoa; Chordata; Mammalia; Rodentia; Sciuridae. The record is from RNAcentral.